This is a long non-coding RNA of Vanessa atalanta (red admiral), 289 nucleotides long. RefSeq lists it as uncharacterized. The transcript has 3 exons. The record is from RefSeq and is a predicted model, not a curated record. NCBI's taxonomy places the organism in Eukaryota, Metazoa, Arthropoda, Insecta, Lepidoptera, Nymphalidae.
AAUCCACACUGAGACGUAUUGACGAGAAUAAAAACGGAAUAUGCAAUCGAGUGUGAAUGUACGUGCGAAGACUCGCCAUGUAAUGUACGUUCUGCGUUAUCGAGUCUACUUUGAGAAAGGAUCCACUGACAUAUUUUCCACUGACGAUAUUAAUUGCUUCAAAGCAUGCGCUUUUCCUUUUCUUUUCAACCAAAAAGGAGUCGACCCUAUGAGAAAAUCUUCAAUUGCAACAAGCUUGUUGGGUACACAUUUGAAUGUUAAAAACAUUGUUAACAUAUAUCUUCUACAC